GACGAACGCUGGCGGCGUGCUUAACACAUGCCAGUCGAACGGAAAGGCCCUGCUUGCCGGGUACUCGAGUGGCGAACGGGUGAGUAACACGUGGGUGAUCUGCCCUGCACUUCGGGAUAAGCCUGGGAAACUGGGUCUAAUACCGGAUAGGAGCCAUUUUUAGUGUGAUGGUUGGAAAGUUUUUUCGGUGUAGGAUGAGCUCGCGGCCUAUCAGCUUGUUGGUGGGGUAAUGGCCUAUCAAGACGGCGACGGGUAGCCGGCCUGAGAGGGUGGACGGCCACAUUGGGACUGAGAUACGGCCCAGACUCCUACGGGAGGCAGCAGUGGGGAAUAUUGCACAAUGGGCGCAAGCCUGAUGCAGCGACGCCGCGUGGGGGAUGACGGCCUUCGGGUUGUAAACUCCUUUCGCUAGGGACGAAGCUUUUUGUGACGGUACCUAGAUAAGAAGCACCGGCUAACUACGUG
RNAcentral lists this ribosomal RNA (465 nucleotides) under uncultured bacterium. RNAcentral describes it as "partial 16S ribosomal RNA". It matches the Rfam family "Bacterial small subunit ribosomal RNA", at positions 28 to 507 of the family's 1533-position model. The record is from RNAcentral.